UUGUCUCAAAGAUUAAGCCAUGCAUGUCUCAGUACACGCCCAAUUAAGGUGAAACCGCGAAAGGCUCAUUAAAUCAGUUAUGGUUCCUUAGAUCGUACUCACAUUUACUUGGAUAACUGUGGUAAUUCUAGAGCUAAUACAUGCAAAUAGAGCUCGGCCCGGAUGACGGAACGAGUGCUUUUAUUAGAUCAAAACCAAUCGGUGACGGGUUCGCUCGUCAUCGCCCACUUUGGUGACUCUGAAUAACUUUAAGCUGAUCGCACGGUCUUGCACCGGCGACGCAUCUUUCAAAUGUCUGCCUUAUCAACUGUCGAUGGUAGGUUCUGCGCCUACCAUGGUUGUAACGGGUAACGGGGAAUCAGGGUUCGAUUCCGGAGAGGGAGCCUGAGAAACGGCUACCACAUCCAAGGAAGGCAGCAGGCGCGCAAAUUACCCACUCCCGGCACGGGGAGGUAGUGACGAAAAAUAACGAUACGGGACUCAUCCGAGGCCCCGUAAUCGGAAUGAGUACACUCUAAACCCUUUAACGAGGAUCAAUUGGAGGGCAAGUCUGGUGCCAGCAGCCGCGGUAAUUCCAGCUCCAAUAGCGUAUAUUAAAGUUGUUGCGGUUAAAAAGCUCGUAGUCGGAUUUGUGUCUCGCGCCGCCGGUUCAUCGUCCGCGGUGUCAACUGGCGUCUCGCGAGACGUAUUGCCGGUGGGCAUAGCCUCUCGGGGCUGCCCAACUAAUCCCGCCGCGGUGCUCUUAAUUGAGUGUCGAGGUAGGCCGGCACGUUUACUUUGAACAAAUUAGAGUGCUUAAAGCAGGCUAGAACUUCGCCUGAAUAUUGUGUGCAUGGAAUAAUGGAAUAGGACCUCGGUUCUAUUUUGUUGGUUUUCGGAACCCCGAGGUAAUGAUUAAUAGGAACGGAUGGGGGCAUUCGUAUUGCGACGUUAGAGGUGAAAGGUGAAAUUCUUGGACCGUCGCAAGACGAACAGAAGCGAAAGCAUUUGCCAAAAACGUUUUCAUUGAUCAAGAACGAAAGUCAGAGGUUCGAAGGCGAUCAGAUACCGCCCUAGUUCUGACCAUAAACUAUGCCAGCUAGCGAUCCGCCGACGUUCCUCCGAUGACUCGGCGGGCAGCUUCCGGGAAACCAAAGCUUUUGGGUUCCGGGGGAAGUAUGGUUGCAAAGCUGAAACUUAAAGGAAUUGACGGAAGGGCACCACCAGGAGUGGAGCCUGCGGCUUAAUUUGACUCAACACGGGAAACCUCACCAGGCCCGGACACCGGAAGGAUUGACAGAUUGAGAGCUCUUUCUUGAUUCGGUGGGUGGUGGUGCAUGGCCG
Molecule: ribosomal RNA, 1323 nt
Filed under: Hypebaeus sp. G0170
Lineage: Eukaryota; Metazoa; Arthropoda; Insecta; Coleoptera; Melyridae
Description: SSU rRNA
Rfam family: Eukaryotic small subunit ribosomal RNA
Source: RNAcentral